This 468-nucleotide ribosomal RNA is filed under the name uncultured bacterium. RNAcentral's name for it is "partial 16S ribosomal RNA". It matches the Rfam family "Bacterial small subunit ribosomal RNA", at positions 28 to 507 of the family's 1533-position model. The record is from RNAcentral.
GACGAACGCUGGCGGCGUGCUUAACACAUGCAAGUCGAACGGAAAGGCCCUGCUUUUGUGGGGUGCUCGAGUGGCGAACGGGUGAGUAACACGUGAGUAACCUGACCUUGACUUUGGGAUAACUUCAGGAAACUGGGGCUAAUAUCGGAUAGGAGCUCCUGCUGCAUGGUGGGGGUUGGAACGUUUCGGCGGUUGGGGAUGGACUCGCGGCUUAUCAGCUUGUUGGUGGGGUAGUGGCUUACCAAGGCUUUGACGGGUAGCCGGCCUGAGAGGGUGACCGGCCACAUUGGGACUGAGAUACGGCCCAGACUCCUACGGGAGGCAGCAGUGGGGAAUAUUGCACAAUGGGCGGAAGCCUGAUGCAGCAACGCCGCGUGCGGGAUGACGGCCUUCGGGUUGUAAACCGCUUUCGCCUGUGACGAAGCGUGAGUGACGGUAAUGGGUAAAGAAGCACCGGCUAACUACGUG